Molecule: ribosomal RNA, 253 nt
Filed under: uncultured bacterium
Lineage: Bacteria
Description: partial 16S ribosomal RNA
Rfam family: Bacterial small subunit ribosomal RNA
Source: RNAcentral
UACGUAGGGCGCAAGCGUUGUCCGGAAUUAUUGGGCGUAAAGAGCUCGUAGGCGGCUUGUCACGUCGGGUGUGAAAGCCCGGGGCUUUACCCCGGGUCUGCAUUCGAUACGGGCUAGCUAGAGUGUGGUAGGGGAGAUCGGAAUUCCUGGUGUAGCGGUGAAAUGCGCAGAUAUCAGGAGGAACACCGGUGGCGAAGGCGGAUCUCUGGGCCAUUACUGACGCUGAGGAGCGAAAGCGUGGGGAGCGAACAGG